This 286-nucleotide long non-coding RNA is filed under the name Lathyrus oleraceus (garden pea). RNAcentral describes it as "Pisum sativum (pea) long non-coding RNA (PSAT_LNC040716)". The record is from RNAcentral. Lineage: Eukaryota; Viridiplantae; Streptophyta; Magnoliopsida; Fabales; Fabaceae.
GGAAAUAUACCUGAACGCAUCACACACUUGAACAUACAAUAGAGUCGUCAUCGGACUUGAUUUAUUCUCAAAGGAAAGGGAAAACAUCGAUAAAACUCGGGGAAAUAAAAUUUGGGUAAGGAAGUCGGUUAUGCAAUGGGAAGGUAUUAGCACCCCUAACAUCUGUUGUACUCAACGAGAAUCGUUUGGAUUGUUCUAUGCUUGAAUGGGUGUUAUAUAUAAAGAUUACUCGCAAAAGAAUAAAGGAAAAGAAGUGAAUAGAUAGAGUGCUCGGUGAGGAUUGAGG